This 460-nucleotide ribosomal RNA is filed under the name uncultured bacterium. RNAcentral describes it as "partial 16S ribosomal RNA". It matches the Rfam family "Bacterial small subunit ribosomal RNA", at positions 338 to 795 of the family's 1533-position model. The record is from RNAcentral.
CCUACGGGGGGCAGCAGUGAGGCAUAUUGGUCAAUGGCCGCAGGGCUGAACCAGCCAAGUAGCGUGAAGGAUGCCUGCCCUCUGGGUUGUAAACUUCUUUUAUAUGGGAAUAAAAUGUUCCACGUGUGGGAUUUUGUAUGUACCAUAUGACUAAGGAUCGGCUAACUCCGUGCAAGCAGCGGCGGUAAUACGGAGGAUCCGAGCGUUAUCCGGAUUUAUUGGGUUUAAAGGGAGCGUAGCUGGAUUGUUAAGUCAGUUGUGAAAGUUUGCGGCUCAACCGUAAAAUUGCAGUUGAAACUGGCAGUCGUGAGUACAGGAGAGGUGUGCGGAAUUCGUGGUGUAGCGGUGAAACGCUUAGAUAGCACGAAGAACUCCGAUUGCGAAGGCAGUUCACUGGACUGCAACUGACACUGAGGCUCGAAAGUGUGGGUAUCAAACAGGAUUAGAUACCCGGGUAGUC